RNAcentral lists this ribosomal RNA (507 nucleotides) under uncultured bacterium. RNAcentral's name for it is "bacterial SSU rRNA". It matches the Rfam family "Bacterial small subunit ribosomal RNA", at positions 32 to 507 of the family's 1533-position model. The record is from RNAcentral.
AGACGCUGGCGGCGUGCCUAAUACAUGCAAGUCGAACGGUCUUUUCUAUGGAAGCUUGCUUCCACUGAGAAGAUAGUGGCGAACGGGUGAGUAACACGUGGGUAACCUGCCCAUAAGAGGGGGAUAACAUCCGGAAACGGGUGCUAAUACCGCAUAGUUUUCUUGAUCGCAUGAUCGGGAAAGGAAAGGACGGCCUUUGUGCUGUCGCUUAUGGAUGGACCCGCGGCGUAUUAGUUAGUUGGUGAGGUAACGGCUCACCAAGACGAUGGAUACGUAGCCGACCUGAGAGGGUGAUCGGCCACAUUGGGACUGAGACACGGCCCAAACUCCUACGGGAGGCACGCAGUAGGGAAUCUUCCGCAAUGGACGAAAGUCUGACGGAGCAACGCCGCGUGAGUGAAGAAGGUUUUCGGAUCGUAAAACUCUGUUGUCAGAGAAGAACACGUUGGAGAGUAACUGCUUCCAGCCUUGACGGUAUCUGACCAGAAAGCCACGGCUAACUACGUG